AACAUGAUGCAAGCCCAAAUGUCUCAGAAUCACAAUUUAGCUUUGUAGCCUCUUUUCCAGCCAUAGGCAGCAGUUGGUGUUUAAUCACAGUGUGGAAGAAAUAGGGGCAACACUGGCAAAGCAAGAGCCUCAGCAAUAAGCACCUGCUGCUGGAUAAUGUGAACUAAAUGUGGAUAACCUUCUGUAGCUUCUUUGCACCAGCCCAGUGAUGCAAGGAUGCUUGUAAAACUGAUCUGGUUCCGAAAGGCAGAAGGCUCUGGAGGAGGGGAUAUCUCAGCAAUCCACAUGGAUGAAAACCACUCGGCCAAGGAGCAGCUGGGACACAGCUACAUUAGUUGUAUAGACUAUGAUAAUGAUAUACAAACUCUGUUUUACUUUGCUUUGGCUUAAAUAAAAUAUGAUGCAAACUAAAGAUUUCAUUAAAUUUUAAGAAAAUAUAUGAUCUUCAUGUUAUUUGUUCAUUACUUUUGAGUCAUGGAAGCUUAAAAGAAGAGACUCGUAAAAAAUGUUUGAAGGUGUUAAGGUGGAGACUGAACUAUCAGAGUGGACAGGGCAGAA
Malurus melanocephalus (red-backed fairy wren) is the source of this 558-nucleotide long non-coding RNA. RefSeq lists it as uncharacterized. The record is from RefSeq and is a predicted model, not a curated record. The transcript is spliced from 3 exons. Lineage: Eukaryota; Metazoa; Chordata; Aves; Passeriformes; Maluridae.